CCUACGGGUGGCAGCAGUGGGGAAUAUUGGGCAAUGGAGGAAACUCUGACGCAGCAAUGCCGCGUGAAUGAAGAAGGUCUUCGGAUCGUAAAGUUCUUUAGGCAGGGAAGAAGUCAAUGACGGUACCUGAAGAAUAAGCUCCGGCUAACUACGUGCCAGCAGCCGAGGUAAUACGUAGGGAGCAAGCGUGGUUCGGAAUGACUGGGCGGAAAGGGUGGGGAGGCGGGUGUACAAGUUAGAAGGGAAAUACGCAGGGCUUAACUCGGGUGCUGUUUCUAAAACUGUAUGAUUUGAGUGCAGUAGAGGUUAGUGGAAUUCCUAGUGUAGCGGUGGAAUGCGUAGAUAUUAGGAGGAACAGCAGAGGCGAAGGCGGCUAACUGGACUGCAACUGACGCUGAGGCACGAAAGUGUGGGGAGCAAACAGGAUUAGAUACCCUUGUAGUC
RNAcentral lists this ribosomal RNA (444 nucleotides) under uncultured bacterium. RNAcentral's name for it is "partial 16S ribosomal RNA". It matches the Rfam family "Bacterial small subunit ribosomal RNA", at positions 338 to 795 of the family's 1533-position model. The record is from RNAcentral.